RNAcentral lists this small RNA (751 nucleotides) under Dichotomophthora brunnea. RNAcentral describes it as "eukaryotic LSU rRNA". The stretch from base 1 to 177 matches the Rfam family "Eukaryotic small subunit ribosomal RNA", at positions 1657 to 1831 of the family's 1831-position model. Lineage: Eukaryota; Fungi; Ascomycota; Dothideomycetes; Pleosporales; Pleosporaceae. The record is from RNAcentral.
CCUUUGUACACACCGCCCGUCGCUACUACCGAUUGAAUGGCUCAGUGAGGCGUUCGGACUGGCUCGGGGAGGUUGGCAACGACCACCCCAAGCCGGAAAGUUCGUCAAACUCGGUCAUUUAGAGGAAGUAAAAGUCGUAACAAGGUCUCCGUAGGUGAACCUGCGGAGGGAUCAUUACACAAAGAAUAUGCAGGCUGCCCGUGGCUGUGUGCCCUCUCGCUCUCUCGGGGGGAGGGCGCGCCAGUUGGCGGAAGGCUGAAUUAUUUUUCACCCAUGUCUUUUGCGCACUUGUUGUUUCCUGGGCGGGUUCGCCCGCCACCAGGACCACACCAUAAACCUUUUUAUGCAGUUGCAAUCAGCGUCAGUAUAACCAAUGUAAAAUCAUUUACAACUUUCAACAACGGAUCUCUUGGUUCUGGCAUCGAUGAAGAACGCAGCGAAAUGCGAUACGUAGUGUGAAUUGCAGAAUUCAGUGAAUCAUCGAAUCUUUGAACGCACAUUGCGCCCUUUGGUAUUCCAAAGGGCAUGCCUGUUCGAGCGUCAUUUGUACCCUCAAGCUUUGCUUGGUGUUGGGCGUUUUUGUCUUGCGGUCAGCAAGACUCGCCUCAAAACAAUUGGCAGCCGGCCUACUGGUUUCGGAGCGCAGCACAAUUUUUUGCGCUUGCAACCAGCAAAAGAGGUUGGCGAUCCAGCAAGUCCAUCUUCUCACUUUUGACCUCGGAUCAGGUAGGGAUACCCGCUGAACUUAAGC